This 388-nucleotide ribosomal RNA is filed under the name uncultured eukaryote. RNAcentral's name for it is "partial 18S ribosomal RNA". It matches the Rfam family "Eukaryotic small subunit ribosomal RNA", at positions 592 to 976 of the family's 1831-position model. The record is from RNAcentral.
UAAUAGCGUAUAUUAAAGUUGUUGCAGUUAAAAAGCUCGUAGUUGGAUUUCUGAUCGAGACAUCAGGUCGGGUCCGAGAGGAUCAUGUACUUUGAUUUUGUUUUGAUCAUCCUUGGGGAGAGCAUUUCUGGCAUUCAGUUGUCGGGAUUGGGAUCCUCAUCGUUUACUGUGAAAAAAUUAGAGUGUUCAAAGCAGGCCUCGGCCUCUGAAUACAUUAGCAUGGAAUAAUAAGAUAGGACUUUGGUGGUCUAUUUUGUUGGUUUGCACGCCAAAGUAAUGAUUAAUAGGGAUAGUUGGGGGUAUUCGUAUUCAAUUGUCAGAGGUGAAAUUCUUGGAUUUAUGGAAGACGAACUACUGCGAAAGCAUUUACCAAGGAUGUUUUCAUUAA